Molecule: ribosomal RNA, 466 nt
Filed under: uncultured bacterium
Lineage: Bacteria
Description: partial 16S ribosomal RNA
Rfam family: Bacterial small subunit ribosomal RNA
Source: RNAcentral
GACGAACGCUGGCGGCGUGCUUAACACAUGCAAGUCGAACGGAAAGGCCCUGCUUGCAGGGUACUCGUGUGGCGAACGGGUGAGUAACACGUGGGUGAUCUGCCCUGCACUUCGGGAUAAGCUUGGGAAACUGGGUCUAAUACCGGAUAGGAGCCAUCUUUAGUGUGGUGGUUGGAAAGUUUUUUCGGUGUAGGAUGAGCUCGCGGCCUAUCAGCUUGUUGGUGGGGUAAUGGCCUACCAAGGCGGCGACGGGUAGCCGGCCUGAGAGGGUGUACGGCCACAUUGGGACUGAGAGACGGCCCAGACUCCUACGGGAGGCAGCAGUGGGGAAUAUUGCACAAUGGGCGCAAGCCAGAGGCAGCGACGCCGCGUGGGGGAUGAAGGCCUUCGGGUUGUAAACUCCUUUCGCUAGGGACGAAGCUUUUUUGUGACGGUACCUAGAUAAGAAGCACCGGCUAACUACGUG